UGCCAGAGGCUGCUCUUUUUGUCCAGACAGCAUCAGAUACAUAGUCUACAUAUACUGAGACAGAGAGGCGUUGUUUCGCUCGCUCGGACGCUUUAACUGAGAUUUUUAUGCGUCUUUCUGUCCGCGCGCGUCUCGGUCAAAUAACUGAUAAAUAUUACAAUAUUUAAUUUCGACGGACAACACGGUACGGUAGGGCGAGCCAGGCCCAUAACGCCGGACCAGACAGCCAGUUGUCGGUUGGAGCACGUCUCUAGAGUCAACGGAUGGGCGAGUAUUAACCCUGCUGUAUAAUUCAUUGCGUCCAUGAGAUCGAACAAAUAGCUAAAACGAACGAGUCACUCGAAUCAUGAAUCACACGAAUCAUGACUCUCGAGUCAGUAGAAAGAGUCGUUCAAAAAGAACCAAUCGUUCGCGAACUGGCGCCGGGCUGUCGUCACCGUCACGGCUCUCGUUGAUAGGCACUGGCGUUUGUGUCGCUGGAUGGGCUGGAGCGAAACUGGGUUCAUUUACAGCAUGUGGCAACAGAGAGCGAGAGACAGGACGGAGAGACCACAGAGACUCCAGGAACUUCGGGCCAAUUUGCUAAAUGGAAAGAGAAAUAGACGAGCGCUGUCCAAAAUAACUUAAAUACAGGGAAAGCCAGGACUGUGAAGUGGACCACGCAGAACAGUGAAGAUUCCAGAGGCGAAUGACCAUUGAAGGGGAAGAGAAAACGCACUGCAAGCAAAACCAGUGAAUACCUGAAUUUCGUGAGUGAGACUGAGGACUCAUACCUGGAGACACUUGAGGCCCAGUGUCAGCAGCAGGAUCAGCUCUUUAAUCAGCUGUGUGAAGAUGAGGCAGCAGACAGGACAGCCAGAGAUGGCCCAGACCGCCUAAUUUAAUAACACCUACAUAGCUGUAUUUCGACAGUUUGUCCAAGCCAUAAAAGCUCAACGUGUCACUAGACUAAACUGGCUGAAGUUCUUAUGUAAAAUGCUUAUUUUUUUAUUUUCUUAAAUUUGCUCUACACCAAACGCAUUGUGAAUGUGGCUUUCAAUUAGUGUUCAUUGAAUUUAGCCUACGGUUAAACAAUUAAAAUAUACAUGUUGGAGCAAUACAUUUCUUAAACAUGCUUGUGUUGAUUUUAAAUGUAGGAAAUAAAGAUUAGACAUGAUUUACACACUUUUAUUAAAAAACAAACGUUGGUCGAACAUAGAAGAUACACUUGUGUAGUAGGUUAUUCACAGGAAGUAAGAAACAAAACUUAUAAGAACAUAUCUCUAAUGGUAAAAUGAACACAAGGGAGUAUAUCAGUACUUUAUUAAUCAGGGUAAAAUCAUGUGAUGGGGGUGUAGUAACCAAAAAGGGAGAGACCCACUGAACUAAGUGGCCAGGCUUGGUCUGUCAUGCUAAUAGUUUGGUUUUGGUCCAGGCGCUUUGUUGUCCAAACUGUGUUGGUGGAGUUGGGUGUCUGAGAAAAUCAUAAAGAAGGAAAAAAGAAAAUCUGUCAUUAAACAUUGUGUUUGUUUGUCAGUGGGACAUCAACUCACCAUAGCAUAGUUGGAGAUAAUGAUAGUUGAUUGGGUUGAUUACUUAUCAUCUGAUUAGGUCAGGAAGUGUUUCUCAUAGGAGUGCUAAAUGACUCUUGCAGUAUUGAAGGAGGACAGCUAGCUAUUACACGUGCAAUAAGGUGCAGUCCUGCAUUAUUACUCUUGCAAUAUGUAGGCCUAGGUAUGUACAAUGUAUAUCUAUCACAAAGACAGAUACACAUUAUGUAGCCAGCUAGAUAGAUACAUUGUGCAUACUUCCUAGGGUCCUGUCACACACAGCAUACUGCAAGAGUAAUACCGUAUUGCAGGACUGCAUCUUAUUGCAAGAAACUAUAAUGGCUGGCCUCAUUCCAAAUAAGUUUUGAGGAAUUCACAAAGACAGAUACACAACAGCUAGCUAAACAAAUAAAAGCACAUUCUGUACCUCUCACGGAGCAUUUGUUUUGUAAGCUGGUCUUUCAACCGGCUGACUCGAUCCUCUCCUCGCAUGUUAAUAACUUACAUGGUGUAUUUCUCCAUCUCUUUUCAGCUGUCUCCUCUCAUUCAGUCUAGAUUGCUGCCCAUUAAUACAUUUUAAAAGGAUGACACAAAAUAGCCCGGCCAACUCCUCCAUACUUAAAAAUGCCAGUCACCAAGGAUCACAACAAUUUCACUGUUGAAUUGCGUCAUCGG
Molecule: long non-coding RNA, 2204 nt
Organism: Oncorhynchus gorbuscha (pink salmon)
Lineage: Eukaryota; Metazoa; Chordata; Actinopteri; Salmoniformes; Salmonidae
Exons: 3
Source: RefSeq, a predicted model, not a curated record